AAAACACCUCAAUGACAGAAAGUGGGCCCACUAUGGCUCCACAUGCGAUGUCCACGUAGCCAAUGUUUUCGCCUCCGAAGAACUCUCCGCCUUUGCUGCUCUUCUGAAACGCCUCCUCCAACGCUGCGAGAGAUUCCAUCAGGUUUCCAGCCGCCGCCAUCCUCCCGGCGUCAUCCUUAGCUCCAGCCACCGCAUCGAUUGAUUCAAAGCCCUGUACCAUGUUCAAAAACAUUAUACACAUACUCUCAGUUUUAUUUAACAUUUUAUAAUGAACCUAAGGUGAUGGUUAUAUGAUUAAUUGAUGUUUAAAACUUUUCAUACAUACUAAAAAUUUUAAACACGUUCUUUUGAUUAUUAUCUUUUGGUUUUACCAAUAAAGUUUCACUAUUCAUAUUUUUUUAUAUUUUAAACUAAGGUGAUAGUACUUAAAACUGUUUUGUUACCUUUCCGUCAACGAAGUGAGCCCAGAAACGAGCAGAAGCACGUUCUUUGGGAUUGGAAGGGAGGAUAGAAAGCUUGGACGGCCAGGCUUCGUCUACGUACUGAACGAUGUUGAGAGAUUCGCAGAUUGAGUCAUCACCAUGGAUUAGGACAGGGACUUUCUUGUGGAUAGGAUUGGAUUUAAGAAGAAGGUCGCUCUUGGACUUCAGAACAUCGGCUUCUUCUAUGUACUCGUACUCUACUGACUUGAGGUGUAGAGCGAUUCGAGCCCUCAAGGCGAAUGGGCUUGACCAUGUACCAAUAAGCUUCACGGUAUUUUUCGAACCAUUCUGAGCCAUCUCGGUUUUUUGCCUUUUCUUUAUUUGAGUCGUGUCUCGAGAGAUGGAGCUGUCUGUUUUCUUGCUUUUUAACAUUUGAUGAAGGAUUUUUUUGCCUGUUUACCUGACUGAGUUUUGAGUGAAUAUUUAUAUAGGAACAAUUCGAUUAUACUUUAUAUGUUUAUUUCUUGAGCUUCUUUCUUUAGCUGCCAUUUUGGCGGCUGGGUUUAAUUUUUUAUUCUCAAUUCAAAGGUCUUCUUCUUUUAGAUUUAUUUAUUUUUACUUUUAGAUAAAUAAAACAGAAGAUUUUAUUUUUGAAAAGUAAGCGGUAAUUAAAUAUUAGGUGUUGGAAACUAAGGUGUUUCAAUUGGACCGGCACUGGACCACGAAAGUGUGCAGGAUUGACUGUUGACUAGUUAGUUUUUUAAUCCAACAUGAACACGAUCCAGCAACUUCCUAGGUUAUGAGUAGUUUUGUUUUCUUUUUGAUAAGGAGUAUAUUCCUUGUUAAAAACAAAUAUUUCAAAUUAACUUGCUUCUUUUCUUAAUUCACUCAGUUACCUGCAUACUGCUUUUUCUCUUUGUUUCACAUUCAUGUAUUUACUCUUUUUGUACACUGUUAAGAAUCUUCAAAGCAAAAUGCAUUAGUACUUACAAGUCACACAAGCACGCUACGAAACUUUCAAACUGAAUCAUUGUAUAAUGACAAAGACUUCAAGUGCAAAUUUCUUAUACCUACAGAUCAUGGUCAAAUAUCAAAUAACAUUAGUGUGUAUCAAUUGUGUAAAUCCAUAUUUACAAAAAAAUAGUUGUAAGCCUCAACUGACACAAACCAAUAUAUUACAGAACAGUAAAUAAGACUCAAAAUUACGUAUUAGUGGUGGUGCCUUGAAUUUUAUAUUGCUGACAUCUGCCACCUGCCGCGGAAUAAAGAUACCCAUGCCACAUGAAACAUGGACCUCUAAUCGUCAUAUUUCUUUUUGGUAUUGUAGAUUGGGUUGGAUUCAAGAAGAAGAUCGCUCUUCGAGUUCAGGACUUCUUCCAUGUACUCGUACUCUACAGACUUGAGAUGUAGAGCUACUUGAGCCCUUAAAGCGAAAGGGCUUCCCCAUGUCCCUAAUAACUUCACAGUACUGUUCAAACCGCUCUGAGCCAUCUGAGACUUUACUUUCUUAUCUUAGUUUGAGUUGUGUCUUGAGAUGGAGUUGUUUUGGAUGAGUAUUUAUUUUAAUUGUCGUAUGAAGGAACAAUUCGAUUAUUAUGUCUCUUUCUUGAGUUUCUUCUCCAGCUGGCAUGUUGGCGGCUGAGUAUAUUUUUUAAUUAAGGUCUUAAUUCUAGAUUUGAUUUUUGAAAAGUUACAACCAAAGAUUAGUCGCUGGAAAUGAGAUGGUUUCUAUUUCCCGGCGCUUGACUUUGGAAGCGUGUCACGAUUGACUGUUGACAAAGUUUCAAUUUCACUGGCGCUUGACUUUAGAGUUUAGAACGAUCCUCCUAAGUUAUAGGGGAUUUCAAAUUGGGGUAAUAGUACAUGCAAAAGUUUUGUAAGUCCAAAUUCUAUUUAUUUAUUUGAUGAAUUGCUUAUGGAUUUAGCUGAGAAAGUGUUGUGUUUCGUUUCGUUUCGUUUCGUUUCGUUUCAAUUUUAGUCUUUGUUUGUAUGUGUCCUGCUCUAUUAAGCUUCGACUUUCACUUUGGGCUUAGUCUAUGAGGAUUUUUAUGUAUUCUACCGAGUUUAAUACCUCAAUCAUAUAUUUUAACUACUGUCAUCAACGAUAACCGGAUGACAGAAAAAGAGGAAGUUAAAUUAUACACUGAUUCAUCUCAAAAUUGUGACUCUAAACGUAUAUACAGUAUAAAUUCCAUAAAUUAAUAUUCAAUAAAUUAAUAAAUUUUACCGAUGCUGAAUUGGACCGAUUCAAAAUAUAACGUAGAUAGAUAAAAUAAUAAGAUAAUAUUUUAAAAAAAAAUUCUAUGUAAAUAUAUGGUCUCAUCUAGUCCCAAUAAAAUCAUUAAUUAAUAAUCUAUCUAUAUAUAAAUUUUAUAUAAGUAUAAACUAAAUAUUAUAUUGUUUGUUUUAUAUUCACAGUAAAAUUAUCUCUAUUUUUUUAAAAAAAAAAAAUCAAAAUAUUUUGAUAAUAUUUAGUAAAAUUAUAUCGAAAAUCACAUUUGAAUUCUAUGAAGCAUAAAAAUAUACACCAAAUAAUGUAGUAAAAAAAUAUGAAAGUCUAAUUUCUAAAAUUUAAUUAAUGUAUAUACAGUAAAAUUAACUAUUUCGUAUUUUAUAAAUAAAAAUAAAAAUAAAAUCUAAAAAGUAUUUUUAUAAAUUAAUAACUCUAUAAAUUAAUAUAAUAUCAUGGUUCCAUCAUUAUUAAUUUAUAGAGUUUUUACUGUAUAUUCUUUCUACUUCAACUCAACUCUAAAGUGAUGUUUUCUCUCGAAUGAAUAUUAAAUGCUUAUGUUUUAGGAAUUUACUUUAUUAUUGAUUGAAUUAUGUUUAGCUAGACGAUAAAUAAUGUUUUAAUUUAGGAAAAAACCUUAAAUGCUUUUGUAUAUGUAUACCAAAAACUUUAAACAUGAAAUAAAUGAUAUAUUCAUACAUGUAAUUAGAUUAUAUUUUAUGGAACUGAAAUUAGGAUGAUAGUAAUGUGUUUUCUUUUAUAAUAAUAAGGUAUCUUAAUGCCUAUGAAUGGGUGGGGUUUGUCCAACCUUUGUGGGAGUGGUCAGCGAAGCUUUAAUGCUACAUUGUUCAAGGUUGGUCUCGUCUGAUUUCAAUCGACUCUAAAGUAAUGUGCAUAGAUUGUAAGCAACCCAAGCAUGGUGUUUAUUAUAUUAUUAUUACAUAUCUUGCAACUAGUAACUCUUACAACAACGUUUUUGGCAAAACAUAAAUCAGAUUCCAACACAUUAAAGAUUUUCCUUUUAAAGUCAUUUCUGAUCUCACUGAACAUUGAACUUUUGUUUGGCAAACUCGACAAACUCAGCAACGGUAGGCAUGUAAGGUUUCACAGCUUCAUGGGCUCUGAAUCUCUCGGCCCAUUGGACCAAGCCCGGUGUUGUAUCUGGACUCAAAAACUUUACACCUGAAAACACCUCAAUGACAGAAAGUGGGCCCACUAUGGCUCCACAUGCGAUGUCCACGUAGCCAAUGUUUUCGCCUCCGAAGAACUCUCCGCCUUUGCUGCUCUUCUGAAACGCCUCCUCCAACGCUGCGAGAGAUUCCAUCAGGUUUCCAGCCGCCGCCAUCCUCCCGGCGUCAUCCUUAGCUCCAGCCACCGCAUCGAUUGAUUCAAAGCCCUGUACCAUGUUCAAAAACAUUAUACACAUACUCUCAGUUUUAUUUAACAUUUUAUAAUGAACCUAAGGUGAUGGUUAUAUGAUUAAUUGAUGUUUAAAACUUUUCAUACAUACUAAAAAUUUUAAACACGUUCUUUUGAUUAUUAUCUUUUGGUUUUACCAAUAAAGUUU
RNAcentral lists this long non-coding RNA (4219 nucleotides) under Brassica napus (rape). RNAcentral's name for it is "long non-coding RNA (BNAP_LNC019191)". The record is from RNAcentral. Lineage: Eukaryota; Viridiplantae; Streptophyta; Magnoliopsida; Brassicales; Brassicaceae.